GCCAUGACUCCUCUGCCACCAACAGCACCCAUGAGUGAAUGACAGCUUCUCGACGGCUUCAUUAAGACCACAGAUGGCGGAUGAAGCAAAGAUGAGCUAGAACAAAUGUAACGCUGGCGAAAUGUGAGGGAAGCUGCAGGACCUUUUCACAGCUUGUGCGUCUGGCUUGCGUCCAAGAAGCCUAUACCCGCAACCCGUCCUCCCGUUCUAAAAUCUGUGUUUGGCAGUCGACCCAUCACGCCGUCCUUCGUUCACCCUCGGACAGCAACUGUCAUCCCUCCCCCGCCCGCCGCCUUCCUACCUGCAGGACUUGAGCUCAUUGUUUUUGCCCUGCUGAUUAACCUCUACCCGCCCUGAAGGAAUGUCUCACAUUGGGUUCUGGAUGAAUACGGGCUGAGCCGGCACCAAAACAGGACCAGCUUUUUCUGAUGAGUUCCAGCCGCUUGGGCCCUGGGCGAGCCAGCUGGCUGUGAUUGGCAGCUGCUAAGGAGGGUAGUGCGGCUGUUAGAGGAAGAAAAACGAGUUUACGCUCCACAAUUAGCAACGAGAGAGAGGGGCCCUAUAUGACUGAUUGAAAUUGUGUCCAAACCUCAAUGUUUCAAAUGUCCUAGUGGUUAAAGCUGCGUGACAACACAGAAGUGUACUGAAG
This is a long non-coding RNA of Gasterosteus aculeatus aculeatus (three-spined stickleback), 649 nucleotides long. Lineage: Eukaryota; Metazoa; Chordata; Actinopteri; Perciformes; Gasterosteidae. The record is from Ensembl.